GACGAACGCUGGCGGCGUGCUUAACACAUGCAAGUCGAACGGAAAGGCACUGCUUUUGUGGGGUGCCCGAGUGGCGAACGGGUGAGUAACACGUGAGUAACCUGACCUUGACUUUGGGAUAACUUCAGGAAACUGGGGCUAAUACCGUAUAGGAGCUCCUGCUGCAUGGAGAGGGUUGGAAAGUUGCGGCGGGCGGGGAUGGAUUGGCGGCUUAUCAGCUUGUUGGUGGGGUAGUGGCUUACCAAGGGUUUGACGGGUAGCCGGCCUGGGAGGGUGACCGGCCACAUUGGUACUAAGAGACGGCCCAGACUCCUACGUGGGGCAACAGUGGGGAGUAUUACACAGUGGGCGGAAGCCGGUUGCGGCGACGCCGCGGUCGUAAUGACGGCCUUCGGGUUGUAAACCGCUUUCGCCUGUGACGAAGCGUUAGUGACGGUAAUGGAUGAAGAAGCACCGGCUAACUACGUG
This 468-nucleotide ribosomal RNA is filed under the name uncultured bacterium. RNAcentral's name for it is "partial 16S ribosomal RNA". It matches the Rfam family "Bacterial small subunit ribosomal RNA", at positions 28 to 507 of the family's 1533-position model. The record is from RNAcentral.